RNAcentral lists this small nucleolar RNA (91 nucleotides) under Podospora anserina S mat+. Its description in RNAcentral is "A. fumigatus snoRNA Afu_264". It matches the Rfam family "A. fumigatus snoRNA Afu_264". Lineage: Eukaryota; Fungi; Ascomycota; Sordariomycetes; Sordariales; Podosporaceae. The record is from Rfam by way of RNAcentral.
UUACAUGAUGAUCAAACACAUUACAAUUAUAUUCUGGUACCUCUUAUGCUAGAGUCCUUCGGGGCUCGAUGAUUUAACAGGACUUCUGAUU